AGGGAAUCCCCCACACUGGGUCUGAGCACGGACCAGAUUCCUACGGGAGGCAGCAGUGAGGAUUAUUGACAAUGGGCGCAAGCCUGAUCCAGCCAUGCCGCGUGUAGAAGACGGCCCUAUGGGUUGUAAACUACUUUUGUAUAGGAAGAAAUCUUUUUACGUGUAAGAAGUUGACGGUACUAUAAGAAUAAGCACCGGCUAACUCCGUGCCAGCAGCCGCGGUAAUACGGAGGGUGCAAGCGUUAUCCGGAAUCAUUGGGUUUAAAGGGUCCGUAGGCGGGCUGAUAAGUCAGUGGUGAAAUGCAGGGGCUUAACUCCGGCACUGCCAUUGAUACUGUUAGUCUUGAAUUAUUGUGAAGUGGUUAGAAUAUGUAGUGUAGCGGUGAAAUGCUUAGAUAUUACAUAGAAUACCAGUUGCGAAGGCAGAUCACUAACAAUAUAUUGACGCUGAUGGACGAAAGCGUGGGUAGCGAACAGGAUUAGAUACCCUGGUAGUCCACGCCGUAAACGAUGGUUACUAGCUGUUUGGUACAAUUGAGUACUGAGUGGCCAAGCGAAAGUGAUAAGUAACCCACCUGGGGAGUACGUUCGCAAGAAUGAAACUCAAAGGAAUUGACGGGGGCCCACACAAGCGGUGGAGCAUGUGGUUUAAUUCGAUGAUACGCGAGGAACCUUACCAGGGCUUAAAUGCAGAUUGACAGGUUUAGAAAUAGACUUUUCUUCGGACAAUUUGCAAGGUGCUGCAUGGUUGUCGUCAGCUCGUGCCGUGAGGUGUCAGGUUAAGUCCUAUAACGAGCGCAACCCCUAUUACUAGUUGCCAGCGAGUCAUGUCGGGGACUCUAGUGAGACUGCCGGUGCAAACCGUGAGGAAGGUGGGGAUGACGUCAAAUCAUCACGGCCCUUACGUCCUGGGCCACACACGUGCUACAAUGGUAGGGACAGAGAGCAGCCACUUCGCGAGAAGGAGCGAAUCUUCAAACCCUAUCUCAGUUCGGAUCGUAGUCUGCAACUCGACUACGUGAAGCUGGAAUCGCUAGUAAUCGCAUAUCAGCCAUGAUGCGGUGAAUACGUUCCCGGGCCUUGUACACACCGCCCGUCAAGCCAUGGAAGCUGGGGGUGCCUGAAGUCGGUGACCGUAAG
This 1140-nucleotide ribosomal RNA is filed under the name uncultured Nonlabens sp. RNAcentral describes it as "bacterial SSU rRNA". It matches the Rfam family "Bacterial small subunit ribosomal RNA", at positions 298 to 1445 of the family's 1533-position model. The record is from RNAcentral. Lineage: Bacteria; Pseudomonadati; Bacteroidota; Flavobacteriia; Flavobacteriales; Flavobacteriaceae.